AUGAGCAGCAGCAACAACGGCGGCAACAAUAGCACUGCCGGCCGCGGCACGACCGCGACACCGCCGAGGCCGCACUGGAGGACAAGGGACCCUACCGCCACCGUCGUCUACGUCGUGCCACCUUCCCAGUUCCGCAGCGUCGUGCAGCAACUCACCGGCGCCGCGUCGCCCAACACGGCCACAUCCGACGCUCAACGUUACAUUGUUGCGCCCUGCGUCGUCCUCGCCAACGCGGGCCAUGCGGCGGUUUGGAGUCGUGCUGAAGGUGGUGGCGGCGAGGGGGCAAGUCGUGGUACCGGUGGUGACAGGACGACGACAACGACGAUGAGACAGAUGUUGGAGGAGUGCAUGGCUUGGGCUUCCGACGACCAUGACGAAAACUAG
This 384-nucleotide ribosomal RNA is filed under the name Triticum aestivum (bread wheat). Its description in RNAcentral is "partial small subunit ribosomal RNA". The record is from RNAcentral. Lineage: Eukaryota; Viridiplantae; Streptophyta; Magnoliopsida; Poales; Poaceae.